RNAcentral lists this unclassified non-coding RNA (348 nucleotides) under soil metagenome. RNAcentral describes it as "partial contains 5.8S ribosomal RNA, internal transcribed spacer 2, and large subunit ribosomal RNA". The stretch from base 1 to 120 matches the Rfam family "5.8S ribosomal RNA", at positions 35 to 154 of the family's 154-position model. The record is from RNAcentral.
GAUGAAGAACGCAGCGAACUGCGAUAAGUAAUGCGAAUUGCAGAAUUCAGUGAAUCAUCGAGUCUUUGAACGCACAUUGCGCCCCCUGGCAUUCCGGGGGGCAUGCCUGUCCGAGCGUCAUUACUGCCCAUCAAGCGCGGCUUGUGUGUUGGGUCCUCGUCCCUCCCGGGGGACGGGCCCGAAAGGCAGCGGCGGUACCGUCCGGUCCUCAAGCGUAUGGGGCUUUGUCACCCGCUCGAUUAGGGCCCGGUCGGCGCCAGCCGUCAACCCCCAAUUUUUUUUUAUUCAGGUUGACCUCGGAUCAGGUAGGGAUACCCGCUGAACUUAAGCAUAUCAAUAAGCGGAGGA